This 396-nucleotide unclassified non-coding RNA is filed under the name soil metagenome. Its description in RNAcentral is "partial contains 5.8S ribosomal RNA, internal transcribed spacer 2, and large subunit ribosomal RNA". The stretch from base 1 to 120 matches the Rfam family "5.8S ribosomal RNA", at positions 35 to 154 of the family's 154-position model. The record is from RNAcentral.
GAUGAAGAACGUAGCGAAAUGCGAUAAGUAAUGUGAAUUGCAGAAUUCAGUGAAUCAUCGAAUCUUUGAACGCACAUUGCGCCCGUCGGAAUUCCGGCGGGCAUGCCUGUCCGAGCGUCAGCUUCCAACACUCUCCCCCUAAAGGCCCCUGCGGGGUCGAGGGACGUUGGGCGCUUCCGGGGCGGCCAAGACGCCGAACCGGACGCCCUAAAGCCAGAACCGGCGGCGAGAGCAACAAUCUCACCCCGAGCGUCGUGGGAAAACAUCACCGCUCCAGGGUCGAAGCAGCGCCUCGUCACCGCGAAGCUCAAGGGGAAAAAACCCCCCGGCAGAAACGAUCGACCUCGGAUCAGGUAGGGACACCCGCUGAACUUAAGCAUAUCAAUAAGCGGAGGA